This 1032-nucleotide long non-coding RNA is filed under the name Rhinolophus ferrumequinum (greater horseshoe bat). Its description in RNAcentral is "lncRNA (ENSRFEG00010018471.1)". The record is from RNAcentral. Lineage: Eukaryota; Metazoa; Chordata; Mammalia; Chiroptera; Rhinolophidae.
UGACCACUGACCAGAGUGAUGGGGGCACGGCUGGCCCUUGGCGUCAUCACCUCUGUGUUUUCACCCACUGAGCAAAUAUACACUAAAUGAAGCACAAAUGAGCACGGCCAAAGGAACGGUCAAUUCUGUCCUUUCUUCUUAAUCCCUUUGGCUUAGGGUUUCCCGGCCUGGACAGCCUGUCCGAGGGGAAGGCUGCCCAAGGGCACACGGGCAUCCGUCCGGGGACAUUCAGGCAGUGACCAAUCCCCAGCCACCCUGGCAUGUGCCCUGCACUGUGGGCCUUUUCCCAGCCGGCCGGUGGGGGAGCAGCCACUGUGGGUCCCCGAGUCUUGGUGAGACAGUCAAGGAUGGACCUGGGGUGGGGACCGGUGUGCAGCCGUGUCCCUGGGGAAGGAGCAGCACAGGCUGGGACAGAGGACCUCUGAACUGUCCCCUUGGCCACGCUAUGGAAAGCCACGCUCUCCCCCCAGCUCCCGCAGCUGGGACCCGGAGACCACCCAGGGCCGGAGUCCAGAAUGACCACCAUUGCAUCUCGGCCCUCCAGCUCGGGACAGGAGCUGGGGAGCAGAGGCUGGCCCCAACCUGAGGCCCCCUGAACCCAGAGCACGCCCCUCUGCACAGAGGACCUCCUGUUGGAUGCGUGAGCUGCUGCCUGGCCCACUUGCAGCCUGACUGGCCUUUUGGGGUAAGCAGACCUCACUGGGAAAGAGCCCGUGUGUCCCUCACCUGACCCCCCGGCCCCCAACCCACUGGGCUGGGAGCUUUGACUUAAGCAAAUCAGUAGCACCUAUACCCUGCCUCCUCCCACAUGGGUCUUGAGCUCCACACCAACGCUUUGUAUUUUUCCUGGGCUUUCUCCAGGCAUCCUCCAGCCCCAACCUGGUGGAGAGGGCGUGAUGGCACUGGCAUCCCAUCAUACAGGAGGAUGGCAGUUCAGAGAGAAGAGGGGGCCUCUGGUCCACGCUGGACCAGAGGGGGUCAGGCCCUCCUCACCCUGAGGGGCGUGCCAGACACUACCCAGGUCCAGUGAGG